UCCGGUUGAUCCUGCCGGACCCCACUGCUAUCGGGGUGGGACUAAGACAUGCAAGAAGUGCGCCUCCAAGCCACGGUGGAGGCGCGGCGCACAGCUCAGUAACACGUGGCUAACCUACCCUUGGGACAGGGACAACCCCGGGAAACUGGGGCUAAUCCCCGAUAGGUGAGGACUCCUGGAAUGGGUCCUCGCUGAAAGGGCGUCUAGACCAUGCUUCUGGACGCUGCCCAAGGAUGGGGCCGCGGCCGAUCAGGUUGUUGGUGAGGUAACGGCUCACCAAGCCUAAGACCGGUACGGGCCGUGAGAGCGGGAGCCCGGAGAUGGACACUGAGACAAGGGUCCAGGCCCUACGGGGCGCAGCAGUCGCGAAACCUCCGCAAUACGCGAAAGCGUGACGGGGCCACCCCGAGUGCCGUCCGCUGAGGACGGCUUUUCCCCAGUGUAGACAGCUGGGGGAAUAAGGGGAGGGCAAGUCGGGUGUCAGCCGCCGCGGUAAUACCCGCUCCCCGAGUGGUGGGGACGCUUAUUGGGCCUAAAGCAUCCGUAGCCGGCUGGACAAGUCCCCUGUUAAAUCCAGCGAUUUAAUCGCUGGACUGCGGGGGAUACUGUCCAGCUAGGGGGCGGGAGAGGCCGGCGGUAUUCCCGGGGUAGGGGUGAAAUCUUAUAAUCCCGGGAGGACCACCAGUGGCGAAGGCUGCCGGCUGGAACGCGCCCGACGGUGAGGGAUGAAAGCUGGGGGAGCGAACCGGAUUAGAUACCCGGGUAGUCCCAGCUGUAAACGAUGCGGGCUAGGUGUUGGCACGGCUACAAGCCGUGUCAGUGCCGCAGGGAAGCCGUUAAGCCCGCCGCCUGGGGAGUACGGCCGCAAGGCUGAAACUUAAAGGAAUUGGCGGGGGAGCACCACAAGGGGUUAAGCUUGCGGUUUAAUUGGAGUCAACGCCGGG
Molecule: ribosomal RNA, 944 nt
Filed under: uncultured archaeon
Lineage: Archaea
Description: bacterial SSU rRNA
Rfam family: Archaeal small subunit ribosomal RNA
Source: RNAcentral